RNAcentral lists this RNase P RNA (422 nucleotides) under Niabella soli DSM 19437. RNAcentral's name for it is "Bacterial RNase P class A". It matches the Rfam family "Bacterial RNase P class A". From Rfam's summary of the family: Ribonuclease P (RNase P) is a ubiquitous endoribonuclease, found in archaea, bacteria and eukarya as well as chloroplasts and mitochondria. The record is from Rfam by way of RNAcentral. Lineage: Bacteria; Pseudomonadati; Bacteroidota; Chitinophagia; Chitinophagales; Chitinophagaceae.
GUUACAAGCCGGGUUAUCGCUUCCUGCUAAAGUGGGAGGAGGAAAGUCCGGACAGCAUAGGGCAAUGCACCGGUGAACAGCCGGGUGUUCCGCUGUAAGCGGAACAACAGAGAGUGCCACAGAAAAUAACUGUCUCGCCGCAAGGCGGGAUGAGGGUGAAAACGUGAGGUAAGAGCUCACGGCGUCCCGUAGUAAUACAGGAUGCGGGUAAACCUUGUAUGCUGAAAUGCCAUGUAAACCCUGCUUUUGACCAGGCAACUGGGAAAAGGUGAGCGGCCCGUUCACUAUCUCGCCCCGGCGGAUGGCAGGAAGGGUAGGCAGAUUGAUUCAUUGAGGUAACUCUUUGAACAGAUAAAUGAUAACCGCUUUGUCAUGCUGAGCUUGACGAAGCACAGAAUCCGGCUUACAGGCUUGUAACAUUU